GAACUGAAGAGUUUGAUCAUGGCUCAGAUUGAACGCUGGCGGCAGGCCUAACACAUGCAAGUCGAGCGGAUGAGAGGAGCUUGCUCCUUGAUUUAGCGGCGGACGGGUGAGUAAUGCCUAGGAAUCUGCCUGGUAGUGGGGGAUAACGUCCGGAAACGGGCGCUAAUACCGCAUACGUCCU
This 181-nucleotide ribosomal RNA is filed under the name Ectopseudomonas mendocina. RNAcentral's name for it is "Pseudomonas mendocina partial 16S ribosomal RNA". It matches the Rfam family "Bacterial small subunit ribosomal RNA", at positions 1 to 181 of the family's 1533-position model. The record is from RNAcentral. Lineage: Bacteria; Pseudomonadati; Pseudomonadota; Gammaproteobacteria; Pseudomonadales; Pseudomonadaceae.